GACGAACGCUGGCGGCGUGCUUAACACAUGCAAGUCGAACGCUGAAGCCCAGCUUGCUGGGUGGAUGAGUGGCGAACGGGUGAGUAACACGUGAGUAACCUGCCCCCUUCUUUGGGAUAACGCCCGGAAACGGGUGCUAAUACUGGAUAUUCACUGGCCUUCGCAUGGGGGUUGGUGGAAAGGUUUUUCUGGUGGGGGAUGGGCUCGCGGCCUAUCAGCUUGUUGGUGGGGUGAUGGCCUACCAAGGCUUUGACGGGUAGCCGGCCUGAGAGGGUGACCGGUCACAUUGGGACUGAGAUACGGCCCAGACUCCUACGGGAGGCAGCAGUGGGGGAUAUUGCACAAUGGGCGAAAGCCUGAUGCAGCGACGCCGCGUGAGGGAUGACGGCCUUCGGGUUGUAAACCUCUUUCGCUCAUGGUCAAGCCGCAGCUUUGGGUUGUGGUGAGGGUAGUGGGUAAAGAAGCGCCGGCUAACUACGUGCCAGCAGCCGCGGUAAUACGUAGGGCGCGAGCGUUGUCCGGAAUUAUUGGGCGUAAAGGGCUUGUAGGCGGUUGGUCGCGUCUGCCGUGAAAUCCUCUGGCUUAACUGGGGGCGUGCGGUGGGUACGGGCUGACUUGAGUGCGGUAGGGGAGACUGGAACUCCUGGUGUAGCGGUGGAAUGCGCAGAUAUCAGGAAGAACACCGGUGGCGAAGGCGGGUCUCUGGGCCGUUACUGACGCUGAGGAGCGAAAGCGUGGGGAGCGAACAGG
RNAcentral lists this ribosomal RNA (750 nucleotides) under uncultured Actinomyces sp. RNAcentral's name for it is "bacterial SSU rRNA". It matches the Rfam family "Bacterial small subunit ribosomal RNA", at positions 28 to 776 of the family's 1533-position model. Lineage: Bacteria; Bacillati; Actinomycetota; Actinomycetes; Actinomycetales; Actinomycetaceae. The record is from RNAcentral.